AUUGAACGCUGGCGGCAUGCCUAACACAUGCAAGUCGAACGACCGCAUGAGAUACUUUCUUAUCUUUAUUUAGCGUGGCAAGGGGGAGAAAAAUAUGUAGAACCUACCUAUAUAACUGGGAAAAAUUCGGCAAAAGGGAACUAAUUACGGCAAAUUUUUUGAACGUCAAGGUUCAAGAGUGAAAGACGUCCUGCUUUUCGAUUAUACAAUGACCCGCGCUGUAUUAGCUAGUUGGUAAGGUAACGGCUUACCAAGGCAACGAUGAAUAGCCGACCUGAGAGGGUGAUCGGCCACACUGGAACUGAGACACGGUCCAGACUCCUACGGGAGGCAGCAGUAGGGAAUCUUCCGCAAUGGGCGAAAGCCUGACGGAGCAACGCCGCGUGAGUGAUGAAGGUCUUCGGAUCGUAAAACUCUGUUAUUAGGGAAGAACAUAUGUGUAAGUAACUGUGCGCAUCUUGACGGUACCGAAUCAGAAAGCCACGGCUAACUACGUG
This 497-nucleotide ribosomal RNA is filed under the name uncultured bacterium. RNAcentral describes it as "partial 16S ribosomal RNA". It matches the Rfam family "Bacterial small subunit ribosomal RNA", at positions 30 to 507 of the family's 1533-position model. The record is from RNAcentral.